This 253-nucleotide ribosomal RNA is filed under the name uncultured bacterium. RNAcentral's name for it is "partial 16S ribosomal RNA". It matches the Rfam family "Bacterial small subunit ribosomal RNA", at positions 524 to 776 of the family's 1533-position model. The record is from RNAcentral.
UACGUAGGGUGCAGGCGUUAAUCGGAAUUACUGGGCGUAAAGCGUGCGCAGGCGGUUUCUUAAGUCAGAUGUGAAAUCCCUCGGCUUAACCGGGGAACUGCGUCUGAUACUGGAUGGCUUGAGGUUGGGAGAGGGAUGCGGAAUUCCAGGUGUAGCGGUGAAAUGCGUAGAUAUCUGGAGGAACACCGGUGGCGAAGGCGGCAUCCUGGACCAAUUCUGACACUGAGGAGCGAAAGCCAGGGGAGCAAACGGG